UACCUCCUACGGGGGGCAGCAGUAGGGAAUUUUCGUCAAUGGGCGCAAGCCUGAACGAGCAAUGCCGCGUGAACGAGGAAGGUCUUCGGAUCGUAAAGUUCUGUUGAAGGGGAAAAAGAGCGGAGAGAGGAAAUGCUUUCUGAUUGAUAUUACCCUUCGAGGAAGUCACGGCUAACUACGUGCCAGCAGCCGCGGUAAUACGUAGGUGGCGAGCGUUAUCCGGAAUUAUUGGGUGUAAAGGGUGCGUAGACGGGAAAUUAAGUUAGUUGUGAAAUCCCUUGGCUUAACUGAGGAACUGCAACUAA
RNAcentral lists this ribosomal RNA (305 nucleotides) under uncultured bacterium. RNAcentral describes it as "bacterial SSU rRNA". It matches the Rfam family "Bacterial small subunit ribosomal RNA", at positions 333 to 630 of the family's 1533-position model. The record is from RNAcentral.